UACGGAGGGUGCAAGCGUUAAUCGGAAUUACUGGGCGUAAAGCGCACGCAGGCGGUCUGUCAAGUCGGAUGUGAAAUCCCCGGGCUCAACCUGGGAACUGCAUUCGAAACUGUCAGGCUAGAGUCUUGUAGAUGGGGGUAGAAUUCCAGGUGUAGCGGUGAAAUGCGUAGAGAUCUGGAGGAAAACCGGUGGCGAAGGCGGCCCCCUGGACAAAGACUGACGCUCAGGUGCGAAAGCGUGGGGAGCAAACAGGAUUAGAUACCCUGGUAGUCAACGCCGUAAACGAUGUCGAUUUGGAGGUUGUGCCCUUGAGGAGUGGCUUCCGGAGCUAACGCGUUAAGUCGACCGCCUGGGGAGUACGGCCGCAAGGUUAAA
This 375-nucleotide ribosomal RNA is filed under the name uncultured bacterium. Its description in RNAcentral is "bacterial SSU rRNA". It matches the Rfam family "Bacterial small subunit ribosomal RNA", at positions 524 to 898 of the family's 1533-position model. The record is from RNAcentral.